Molecule: ribosomal RNA, 254 nt
Filed under: uncultured bacterium
Lineage: Bacteria
Description: partial 16S ribosomal RNA
Rfam family: Bacterial small subunit ribosomal RNA
Source: RNAcentral
UACGAAGGGGGCUAGCGUUGCUCGGAAUCACUGGGCGUAAAGGGUGCGUAGGCGGGUCUUUUAAGUCAGGGGUGAAAUCCUGGAGCUCAACUCCAGAACUGCCUUCGAUACUGAGAGUCUUGAGUCCGGAAGAGGUCGGCGGAACUGCGAGUGUAGAGGUGAAAUUCGUAGAUAUUCGCAAGAACACCAGUGGCGAAGGCGGCCGACUGGUCCGGUUCUGACGCUGAGGCACGAAAGCCAGGGGAGCGAACGGG